This is a non-coding RNA of Triticum aestivum (bread wheat), 119 nucleotides long. Lineage: Eukaryota; Viridiplantae; Streptophyta; Magnoliopsida; Poales; Poaceae. The record is from Rfam.
GGAUGCGAUCAUACCAGCACUAAAGCACCGGAUCCCAUCAGAACUCCGAAGUUAAGCGUGCUUGGGUGAGAUUAGUACUAGGAUGGGUGACCUCCUGGGAAGUCCUCGUGUUGCAUUCU